Non-coding RNA from Anisakis simplex (herring worm), 117 nucleotides. Lineage: Eukaryota; Metazoa; Nematoda; Chromadorea; Rhabditida; Anisakidae. The record is from Rfam.
CAUUUCUUAUUCCUCUGCAUUAAACGAGAAAAUCUUUCGCCUUUUACUAAAGAUUUCCGUGCAGGGGAAUAAUUAUGAGUUAACUCUUAUUUUUGGAGUCCCGACUUAGGUCAGGGA